Long non-coding RNA from Prinia subflava (tawny-flanked prinia), 1148 nucleotides. RefSeq lists it as uncharacterized. The record is from RefSeq and is a predicted model, not a curated record. The transcript is spliced from 5 exons. NCBI's taxonomy places the organism in Eukaryota, Metazoa, Chordata, Aves, Passeriformes, Cisticolidae.
ACUGCCCAGCUGCCUCCCCAUCAUCUUGCUCAUCUGCCAAAUCUAGCUAAGGAAAUGCUGUGUAUUUUCUUAGGCUCCUUGGAGGAAUUCACUUGAAAAUGACAAAACGAGCAGGACCUUUUUCUUUUUAGUGGUGACAGUAUCUCAAGGGAGACCUACCUAAGGGACAGACUGAGAUGACUGAGCAAUUGGGAUAGAGUGACACCGAAAUGGGGAAUGGAACAAAAUUCUCCUUCUUUCAUGGUCAAGAAGCCAGGAAAACCUCACCCAACUCUGAAAAAGACAAAAAAACUCCACAAAAUGUCCUUCUGUCCUCUGUUUCCUGCUAAGGUCUGGCUGUCCCCAUCCUCAGCAGCCAGACAACCUGAGCAACACUUGCAGAGCACAAAGAUCGUGUGCCAGCACCAGAAAAGCUCUAUUUCCUCAGCAUUCUAUGUGCAACUGUUUGCUCAGUGAGAUAAGAAAAGUGCUAUAGCUGUGAGUAAAUAUUCCAGGCUUUCAGGAAAUCCUGAAGAGUUGUUCAGAACGACACAAUGGGGAAUUUGGGAACAGAGCACACUUCUGCCAGUGCUGACCAGGGUCAGAGGUUAUCAGAGAUGAAGGAAAGGAUGCUCAGCAGUGAUAAGUGGCUUAUCUCACCAGACACCAGGAGGAAACUCCAGCUGAUGUUUCCUCGCAGGAAUGAAGAGACGCUGUUCCUUCAGUGCUUGACAGAUGCCAUCAACCUUGCACACACAUUUCACCCAAACAUGACCUCACUGAAGAGCACAGCCAAUUCUGCUUUAAGCUCUGUUUUAAGCAUGGCCUAGCAGAGGGCUGGGCCACAGCUGAGCGUGGAGGGAAGGGUGUUGUGACGGGCUGGCGGCGCUGAGGCUGCCGCGCGGCUCUGACGGUGAUGGGGCCAGGCAGAUGUCUCCGACAGCUGUGGCUAAUGGCCUGCACACUGGGCAGGGACCAGACCUCCAAACCCUUCCUGCUCCACAGCAAACACUUGGGCUUGUGUGCAUGGAAAAAUAAAAUAUAACUUGUUCCUCAUUUAGCUUUAUUAUUGAAUUCUGCCCUCACUGGUAAAUCAACAAAUUGUUGGUGCUCUGCACUUGGAAGUCGGCCUUUUCUGCGUAAGGUUGAUUCUUUUCCUUUGUUGUGGU